RNAcentral lists this unclassified non-coding RNA (269 nucleotides) under uncultured fungus. Its description in RNAcentral is "partial contains small subunit ribosomal RNA, internal transcribed spacer 1, and 5.8S ribosomal RNA". The stretch from base 1 to 73 matches the Rfam family "Eukaryotic small subunit ribosomal RNA", at positions 1759 to 1831 of the family's 1831-position model. The record is from RNAcentral. Lineage: Eukaryota; Fungi.
UCAAACUUGGUCAUUUAGAGGAAGUAAAAGUCGUAACAAGGUUUCCGUAGGUGAACCUGCGGAAGGAUCAUUACCGUAGGGGGCUAACCCCCCCUUCGAGAUAGCACCCUUGACUUUUCAAGCACCUUUCCGUUUCCUCGGCGGGCUCGCCCGCCAGUGGACAACAACCAAAACCCUUCUUGUAUUAGCAGUACUCUGAUAAGACAAAUAAAAAAGUUAAAACUUUCAACAACGGAUCUCUUGGUUCUGGCAUCGAUGAAGAACGCAGC